AACGUAGGAGACAAACGUUAUCCGGAGUUACUGGGCGUAAAGGGCGUGUAGGUGGUUUCGUAAGUCUGGCGUGAAAUUUUUCGGCUUAACCGGGAAAGGUCGUCGGAUACUGCGGAACUAGAGGACGGUAGAGGCGUGUGGAAUUCCGGGUGUAGUGGUGAAAUGCGUAGAGAUCCGGAGAAACACCAGUGGCGAAGGCGACACGCUGGGCCGUACCUGACACUGAUGCGCGACAGCAUGGGGAGCAAACAGG
RNAcentral lists this ribosomal RNA (253 nucleotides) under uncultured bacterium. RNAcentral describes it as "partial 16S ribosomal RNA". It matches the Rfam family "Bacterial small subunit ribosomal RNA", at positions 524 to 776 of the family's 1533-position model. The record is from RNAcentral.